RNAcentral lists this unclassified non-coding RNA (288 nucleotides) under uncultured fungus. RNAcentral's name for it is "sequence contains ITS2". The stretch from base 1 to 52 matches the Rfam family "5.8S ribosomal RNA", at positions 103 to 154 of the family's 154-position model. Lineage: Eukaryota; Fungi. The record is from RNAcentral.
AACGCACCUUGCACUCCUUGGUAUUCCGAGGAGUAUGCCUGUUUGAGUGUCAUGAAAUCAUCAAACCUCAUAGUUAUUUUUUUAAUUACUUUAAGGCUUGGAUUUGGAAGUUGCUGGCAAAUGUCGGCUCUUCUUAAAUAAAUUAGCUGCUUGUCCGUGAGUUGGCUCAGAGUGUGAUAAGUAUCUACACUUGGUGGCUGCUCGCAUUGGAUGUGGCUUCUAAUCGUCUCUUGAGACAACUUUUUAAGAUCUGACCUCAAAUCAGGUAGGACUACCCGCUGAACUUAA